GAUCUACUCCCUCCGUCUAUAAAUACUUGUCAUCAAAAUGGAUAAAAAGAGAUGUAUCUAGAACUAAAAUACAUCUAGAUACAUCCCCUUUUAUCCAUUUUGAUGACAAGUAUUUCCGGACGGAGGGAGUACUAU
Triticum aestivum (bread wheat) is the source of this 135-nucleotide non-coding RNA. NCBI's taxonomy places the organism in Eukaryota, Viridiplantae, Streptophyta, Magnoliopsida, Poales, Poaceae. The record is from Rfam.